GUUGUUUGAAAUAUUACUGAUUCUUUUUGUUUUGUUUUUCAGAGUCUUGGGGAUCUUUUUCUUUUGAUCUAUUUAUUGCCUUGAAAUAUAGUUAACAAUAUGAAAAUAUUACUCAGCAAAAAAGACUCUUCUAAAGGGGAAAAGUGUAAGACUGUUUUUUUUUUUUUUGAAACAAAAUGAAAUCUAUUUUUCCAUAUUCUAAUAAGAGGAUUCUGGCCAUUGGUUUUUCUAUUUUUCAAGACUGUUUUCAAGUGGAGGCAAUAUUUUGUUUUUGUUCAUUACUUUGUUUUUAGUUUAUCAUGAUAUGUUUACUGUAUGAGUAAAAUUCAUAUGUGUGUAUUUCCAAAUACAGUUCAAACCAUAAUCUUUCAUAACUUUAUGUAGACCAGGCAUGGUGGCUCACACCUGUAAUCCCAGCAUUCUGGGAGGCUGAGACGGGAAAAUUGCUUGAGCCCAGGAGUUUGAGACCAGCCUGGGCAACAUAGUGAAACCCCUUCUCUACUAAAAAGACAAAAAAUUAGCCAGUCAUGGUACUGUGCACCUGUUAUCCCAGGUACUUCGUCCCUGAGCCUGGGAGGUCAAGGUUGCAGUGAGUGAAGAUCAUGCCACUGCAAUCCAGCCUGGGCAACCAGAGUGAGACUGUCUUAAAAAAAAUCUUUACAUAAAAC
This 668-nucleotide long non-coding RNA is filed under the name Homo sapiens (human). RNAcentral's name for it is "HSALNT0202418". The record is from RNAcentral. Lineage: Eukaryota; Metazoa; Chordata; Mammalia; Primates; Hominidae.